GUCAAGGCCAAAGCACAUUUCAACGCGCGCUAGCAGACGACAAUUUUUCCAUUUCAGUAGUCAGCUUACUAACCAGCGAAACAAGUUAUAGUAAUAAGAUAAGGCUACUCUUAGUUCUUAUUCAUAAGAUUUGUAUACAUUGAUGAUUUCAUUGAUGUUUUUUCUUCUUUGUUCUUCAAAUAAUUAAUAUUUAUCAGGAAUGGAAGAUCAAGUAGUAGCAGAAAUGGGCCAUAAGAGCGAUGAUGAUGAAGAGUCAUUUUUUGCUGACAUUGAUCAACUUCAAAACCAUGGGAUUAAUGUUGCUGACAUCAAGAAACUGAAACAGGCGGGUAUUUGCACCAUAAAGGGCAUUCAUAUGACAACAAGAAAAAAACUUUGCAACAUCAAAGGCAUCUCUGAAGCAAAGAUGGAGAAAAUUAAAGAGGCAGCAUCCAAACUUUGUGAUACUGCUUUCCAAACAGCUUUAGAAUAUGCUGAUAAGAGGAAACAAGUUUUUAAGAUAUCGACAGGUAGCACUGAACUCAAUAAACUUUUAGGAGGAGGAAUUGAAAGCAUGGCAAUCACAGAAGUAUUUGGAGAAUUCAGAACAGGAAAAACUCAACUCUCUCAUACUCUGUGUGUUACCACACAAUUACCAACAAACCAAGGCUACAGUGGAGGGAAGGUUGUCUUCAUUGACACAGAAAAUACUUUUCGGCCUGAUAGGCUAAGAAACAUUGCAGACAGAUUUAACCUGGAUCAGAACGCUGUUCUCGAUAAUGUUCUUUAUGCAAGAGCCUACACAAGUGAGCAUCAGUAUGAGUUGCUGGACUUCGUGGCAGCAAAAUUCUAUGAGGAACCCGGUGUGUUUAAACUCCUGAUAAUUGAUUCUGUCAUGGCAUUGUUUCGGGUGGACUUCAGUGGUCGGGGAGAACUUGCUGACCGGCAACAGAAACUUGCUCAACUGUUGUCCCGAUUGCAGAAAAUAUCUGAAGAGUAUAAUGUUGCAUGCUUUGUCACCAAUCAAAUGACUGCAGAUCCUGGAGCAGCAAUGAGGCAGAUCCAAAAAAGCCCAUUGGAGGGCAUAUUCUAGCACAUGCUUCUACCACUCGAGUAAUGCUUCGUAAGGGUCGAGGGGAGAACAGAAUAGCCAAGAUCUAUGACAGUCCUGACUUGCCAGAAAAUGAGGCAACCUUUGCAAUCAGUGGUGGAGGAAUUGUUGAUGCCAAAGACUAACG
This 1217-nucleotide unclassified non-coding RNA is filed under the name Pomacea canaliculata. RNAcentral's name for it is "meiotic recombination protein DMC1/LIM15 homolog, transcript variant X1". Lineage: Eukaryota; Metazoa; Mollusca; Gastropoda; Architaenioglossa; Ampullariidae. The record is from RNAcentral.